Molecule: ribosomal RNA, 491 nt
Filed under: uncultured bacterium
Lineage: Bacteria
Description: partial 16S ribosomal RNA
Rfam family: Bacterial small subunit ribosomal RNA
Source: RNAcentral
AGUGAACGCUGGCGGUAGACCUAACACAUGCAAGUCGAACGGCAGCACAGUAAGAGCUUGCUCUUACGGGUGGCGAGUGGCGGACGGGUGAGGAAUACUCGGAAUCUACUUUUUCGUGGGGGAUAACGUAGGGAAACUUACGCUAAUACCGCAUACGACCUACGGGUGAAAGCAGGGGAUCUUCGGACCUUGCGCGAUUGAAUGAGCCGAUGUCGGAUUAGCUAGUUGGCGGGGUAAAGGCCCACCAAGGCGACGAUCCGUAGCUGGUCUGAGAGGAUGAUCAGCCACACUGGAACUGAGACACGGUCCAGACUCCUACGGGAGGCAGCAGUGGGGAAUAUUGGACAAUGGGCGCAAGCCUGAUCCAGCCAUACCGCGUGGGUGAAGAAGGCCUUCGGGUUGUAAAGCCCUUUUGUUGGGAAAGAAAAGCAGCAGGUUAAUACCCCGCUGUUCUGACGGUACCCAAAGAAUAAGCACCGGCUAACUUCGUG